Molecule: long non-coding RNA, 268 nt
Filed under: Setaria viridis
Lineage: Eukaryota; Viridiplantae; Streptophyta; Magnoliopsida; Poales; Poaceae
Description: long non-coding RNA (SVIR_LNC000817)
Source: RNAcentral
ACACAUUCCCAUGGAGGAAAGUUGUACAGGAUAAGAAACACUGGCCACAUGCUAUACGAGGAGCUCAUUUUACCAAAUGGAUUGAAACCAUCAGUAGCGAGGCCAAGCCUGAUGUUCCUUGCAUCUUCUGCAAACCAUCCAUACUUCCUGUCAAAGUCUUUCUGUAACGACCCGGGUUAAAUCAGCCGAGUAAUCCUAAUCCGAGUCCCUAAUCCCUCUGUCUCCGCCCCCUUGAGCUUAAGCGUUUCAAAACCGGUUCUUAGCCCCG